GCGCCGUUGGUCUAGUGGUUAUGAUUCCUGCCUUCCAUCGUCAACAACGAGUUAGCAUGAGAGACGUGUUCGAUUCACGUACGGCGCA
Non-coding RNA from Verticillium alfalfae VaMs.102, 88 nucleotides. Lineage: Eukaryota; Fungi; Ascomycota; Sordariomycetes; Glomerellales; Plectosphaerellaceae. The record is from the annotation of a RefSeq genome assembly.